RNAcentral lists this microRNA (22 nucleotides) under Salmo salar (Atlantic salmon). Its description in RNAcentral is "ssa-miR-7132a-3p". The record is from miRBase by way of RNAcentral. Lineage: Eukaryota; Metazoa; Chordata; Actinopteri; Salmoniformes; Salmonidae.
UGAGAAGUUUGGAACAAGUAAA